UAAUACGUAGGAUCCGAGCGUUGUCCGGAUUUACUGGGUGUAAAGGGUGCGCAGGCGGACUUAUAAGUCAGGGGUGAAAUCUCACAGCUUAACUGUGAAACUGCCUUUGAUACUGUAAGUCUUGGAUCCGGGAGAGAGUUGUGGAAUUCCGAGUGUAGCAGUGAAAUGUGUAGAUAUUCGGAAGAACACCAGUGGCGAAGGCAGCAACUUGGCCCGGUAUCGACGCUCAGGCACGAAAGCAUGGGGAUCAAACAGGAUUAGAUACCCUGGUAGUCCAUGCCCUAAACGAUGAUCACUUGAUGUCAGCCCUCAGGGUUGGUGUCGAAGCUAACGCGAUAAGUGAUCCACCUGGGGAGUACGCUCGCAAGGGUG
RNAcentral lists this ribosomal RNA (372 nucleotides) under uncultured bacterium. RNAcentral describes it as "bacterial SSU rRNA". It matches the Rfam family "Bacterial small subunit ribosomal RNA", at positions 521 to 896 of the family's 1533-position model. The record is from RNAcentral.